This 908-nucleotide ribosomal RNA is filed under the name Boeremia exigua var. exigua. RNAcentral describes it as "LSU rRNA". It matches the Rfam family "Eukaryotic large subunit ribosomal RNA", at positions 23 to 949 of the family's 3401-position model. The record is from RNAcentral. Lineage: Eukaryota; Fungi; Ascomycota; Dothideomycetes; Pleosporales; Didymellaceae.
ACCCGCUGAACUUAAGCAUAUCAAUAAGCGGAGGAAAAGAAACCAACAGGGAUUGCCCUAGUAACGGCGAGUGAAGCGGCAACAGCUCAAAUUUGAAAUCUGGCGUCUUUGGCGUCCGAGUUGUAAUUUGCAGAGGGCGCUUUGGCAUUGGCAGCGGUCCAAGUUCCUUGGAACAGGACGUCACAGAGGGUGAGAAUCCCGUACGUGGUCGCUAGCCUUUACCGUGUAAAGCCCCUUCGACGAGUCGAGUUGUUUGGGAAUGCAGCUCUAAAUGGGAGGUAAAUUUCUUCUAAAGCUAAAUACUGGCCAGAGACCGAUAGCGCACAAGUAGAGUGAUCGAAAGAUGAAAAGCACUUUGGAAAGAGAGUUAAGAAGCACGUGAAAUUGUUGAAAGGGAAGCGCUUGCAGCCAGACUUGCCUGUAGUUGCUCAUCCGGGUUUUUACCCGGUGCACUCUUCUAUAGGCAGGCCAGCAUCAGUUUGGGCGGUUGGAUAAAGGUCUCUGUCACGUAUCUCCUCUCGGGGAGAACUUAUAGGGGAGACGUAAUGCAACCAGCCUGGACUGAGGUCCGCGCAUCUGCUAGGAUGCUGGCGUAAUGGCUGUAAGCGGCCCGUCUUGAAACACGGACCAAGGAGUCUAACAUCUAUGCGAGUGUUUGGGUGUCAAGCCCGAGCGCGUAAUGAAAGUGAACGGAGGUGGGAACCUUUCGGGGUGCACCAUCGACCGAUCCUGAUGUCUUCGGAUGGAUUUGAGUAAGAGCAUAGCUGUUGGGACCCGAAAGAUGGUGAACUAUGCUUGAAUAGGGUGAAGCCAGAGGAAACUCUGGUGGAGGCUCGCAGCGGUUCUGACGUGCAAAUCGAUCGUCAAAUUUGGGCAUAGGGGCGAAAGACUAAUCGAACUAUCUAGUA